UACGUUGCCCUUGCGUUCCUUCUUAUCAAGGUAUUCCAAGUACUGCUGCUGCUUCGCGAUGAGUCGCGCUUAUCGACUCGAGCCCUCAGCUCCUCACAAUUCUUAUUGGCCACGUUGUUCUGGGCCGUUAUUGUGUCCUUGAGAGCUUCCAUUGCUUUGACUACGUCAUCCAUCCUCUUGAUGAUGCUUGCUAGUGUAGUACCAUCUUCACCAGACGCCAGCAUGAUGUCGAUUAAUUCUUCCUUAUUUUUUUUCUAGUUAGCUGGCUACGUUGUAACGUCUUCCCUUCACCUGGCUGUUUUUGCUGACUGUUUGCCAUCAUAACGGUUGACUCAGCAAAUUUCAAGCGUGCCAAUGAGGUGGUGAGGAAUAUACGCUCGUGUAGAAUCAACAAGAUCAGGACACACAUUUACAAAUAAUCCAGCUCACUCAGGACCUGUGUUUCGAAGGACAGGUAAAGGGGUCGACCUCACACUUCAGUCCACACUUCCAAACUACGCCCACUUUUUCCGCGCUGUUAGUCCCUCGAUUUAUACAUCCCAUCUGAGACUAGCGGGAGGCAGCGACCUGAGGCUGUGGUAAUUCUGCUUGCUGUUGGCCGGUUUGCUGGACACGAAGCUUUUCACGGUUCGUCUGCUGGCUGGCACACGCGGCAGUCACACAAAACAAUCUCCUCCUUCAUCUAUAGUAGAAGAGUUCCGUACGACUUCUCAUAUAACUAAUAAAAACAGGAGAGAGGCCAGGAUAACCCCAGGGUAGUCACGGAUAGUCAGGAUAGUCGACUACUGACCUGACUACUGACUCCAAGCUGUACGGCCUCUAUGGCGGCAUUAAAAUAGUCCAGCACACUCCGCCUAUCAAGACAACUACUGCCCUGAGAGGCCUGCCACUUGCUGGUACAGCUGGAGGAGGGACUGGCAGAUGACCCACAGAAGAAGGCAACCCUGGCAGCAAUAUAUUGAAUCGUGACAAAAUAAGAGAUAAUUGGAGGGCUGUGUGUGGUGAGCUCUGCAUUGUCUCUGAGGGCAACCCCCAGAGCCACACACCAGCAGCAGGAGGAGGAGGGAAGGGCAUCCACCUCCUGCAUUACCAGGACAUCCUCCUCCUCCAGCAGCUGGCCAGGGCACAGGGCUGAGCAAAGUGGGAGUGGUGGUGGUGAUGGUAGAACUGAUAGUAGUAGUAAUAGCAAUGUUCAGUAUAGUAAUAAGAAUGAUAGUAGAGGUCUUUGAUUGUAUAUUUUUAGCAGUAUAGUAGUAGUAGUAGUAGUACCGGCAUUUGUUGAAAUAUACUGGUAAUUCUACUACUACUACUACUACUACUACUACUACUAUUAGCCAAGCCCUUUAUGCUUGUAUACAACUGAGAUGCAAACAAACACCUGGAACUGUGCACUCCCUUUAUUCAUCAAUCAUACACACAAACAACAACAACUAACAGGUAAACAACAACACAAUAAACAUGUCAUUUAAUAAUAAACAACCAACAAUAACAACAGAACAAACUCUGUGACCAUUUCUUGCAAAUUGUGAAGGAAAACAAAUGGAAAAAGAAGGAAAACAAAGAUGAUAAUAAUGGUGCUCUUUCCCCAGCAGGUGGUGACAGAGAGGGUGGCCAGCUUGCCCCUCCCUCCUGCCAGCCAGCUGCAGCAUGGGGGCGGCUGCCCUGCUGUCUGUCACCGGCCACCACACACAGCACACAGCCACAGCAAAGGCAGUGGCUGCAGUGAGGUUUACCAAGACACAAGUCCAUGCACAGGUCCAGAAUGUAAAGAUGGAAACGUGUCCUGCAGGAGGGAGCAGCACUAUGGCAGGACCCCAGAGUUUGCUGCUGUGCUAGGAAGAGGAGAGGAAUAACAGCAGCAGCAGUAGUAGUAAUAUUAGUAGUAGUAGUAGUAGUAGUCAGCAGUGGUGGGCUCUGGUGCAGCUGUUCACUCCUCCAGCUGCCUUUCCUCCCCCCUUCUCUCUCUCUCUCUCUCUCUCUCUCUCUCUCUCUCUCUCUCUCUCUCUCUCUCUCUCUCUCCACAGCCCACAGUAUGUCCCCCACAGUAUGUUUAUGAACCCACAGUGACUCCUCACAGCCCCUCACCAAUAACUGUCCCCCUCACACACACACACAUACACACACACACACACAC
Long non-coding RNA from Scylla paramamosain (green mud crab), 2134 nucleotides. RefSeq lists it as uncharacterized. The record is from RefSeq and is a predicted model, not a curated record. NCBI's taxonomy places the organism in Eukaryota, Metazoa, Arthropoda, Malacostraca, Decapoda, Portunidae. The transcript has 4 exons.